This 212-nucleotide ribosomal RNA is filed under the name uncultured bacterium. RNAcentral's name for it is "partial 16S ribosomal RNA". It matches the Rfam family "Bacterial small subunit ribosomal RNA", at positions 524 to 727 of the family's 1533-position model. The record is from RNAcentral.
GACAGAGGGUGCAAACGGUUGUUCGGAAUUAUUGGGCGUAAAGCGUGUGGUAGGCGGGCCUUGCAAGUCGGAUGUGAAAGCCCCGGGCUCAACCCGGGAAGUGCACUCGAUGACUGCAGGGCUUGAGUAUCGGAGAGGUUGGUGGAAUUCUCGGGUGUGAGAGGGUGAAAAUUCGUAGAUAUCGAGAGGAACACCGGCGGCGAAGGCGGCCA